CUUAGCACAUGCUCUUGCUAGGCCAUCAAAGGUGACAUAUUUAUCCCCAGAGAUGUUGAACACUUCCUUGCUUGCUUUCGGAUUGCCAAGCACCUUAAUGAAGGCCGUCGCGAGGUCCUGAAAGUUUGGAUGGAAGAAGAUGAAUGAAUGAAUAAAGUUCAUCCAGCAGCAAGAUUAUAGUGAAGUUGAUGAUUUUGAGACCUUGACAUGGCCAAGCUGUGUGAUCUGUAUGCCUGAGUUGGGGACGGGGAUGGGACGGCCUGCUUUCAAGCGGUGGAAGAACCACUCCUCAACGGGGUUGUAGUUCAACGGCCCGUAGAUGUAGACUGGCCUUAUAGAAGUCCAGU
RNAcentral lists this long non-coding RNA (347 nucleotides) under Salvia miltiorrhiza (redroot sage). Its description in RNAcentral is "long non-coding RNA (SMIL_LNC007270)". The record is from RNAcentral. Lineage: Eukaryota; Viridiplantae; Streptophyta; Magnoliopsida; Lamiales; Lamiaceae.